UGGGGAAUCUUCCGCAAUGGACGAAAGUCUGACGGAGCAACGCCGCGUGAGUGAAGAAGGUUUUCGGAUCGUAAAGCUCUUUCGUCAGGGACGAACGUAUUUCUUGUAAAUAAUGAGAGAUAGUGACGGUACCUGAAUAAGAAGCCACGGCUAACUACGUGCCAGCAGCCGCGGUAAUACGUAGGUGGCAAGCGUUGUCCGGAAUUAUUGGGCGUAAAGCGCGCGCAGGCGGGAUAUCAAGUCUGUCUUAAAAGUGCGAGGCUCAACCUCGUGAGGGGACAGAAACUGGUAUUCUUGAGUGUCGGAGAGGAAAGUGGAAUUCCAAGUGUAGCGGUGAAAUGCGUAGAGAUUUGGAAGAACACCAGUGGCGAAGGCGACUUUCUGGACGAUGUCUGACGCUGAGGCGCGAAAGCUAGGGGAGCGAACGGG
This 429-nucleotide ribosomal RNA is filed under the name uncultured bacterium. RNAcentral's name for it is "bacterial SSU rRNA". It matches the Rfam family "Bacterial small subunit ribosomal RNA", at positions 355 to 776 of the family's 1533-position model. The record is from RNAcentral.